Cyanistes caeruleus (blue tit) is the source of this 2303-nucleotide non-coding RNA. NCBI's taxonomy places the organism in Eukaryota, Metazoa, Chordata, Aves, Passeriformes, Paridae. The record is from RefSeq and is a predicted model, not a curated record.
CAUUCACAUGGAAACCAGACUCUUAACACAGCUGAAUUUAUUUGGGGAUGAAUAUUAUAGCCCAGUGAUAUUUUGGAGAGAAAAUUAAGAACAAAAAACCAUAAGCAGAUCUUCUUCCUCCAUACAUCUAAAGACUUUUUGUCCAUUGUAGCAAACUGCAAAGAGACAGCUGCUCAUCUGUGACCACCGAAGGCCACCCCUCUCCAAAUAUACCUUCCAACUGGAAUUAGGACCAUGACAGAAGCUUGAGAUAAAGAGGAUACUAUUGUCCAAUCAUCACAGAUCUGGGCAGAAUUUGUCCAUCACUGGUACUGGAAGAGAUACUGGAAUGCUGAUGGCUCAAACAUUCAGGAGGAAGCUGCUGAUGUGCAAAGUACCUGCCCAGAUGCAGAGGAUGAGCACAGCCCACCUCAGGCUACAGAUGAUGUUGAACAAGGUCCUUCCUCCUUGUCCUAUCACUGGAUACCCUCGUGAACAUCUCAGCUGGGAAGAGACCUACCAGGAUCAUCAGCUCCAAUGUCUAACCCAACCUUGCAGUGGUCAGCAUGGAAAAGGUGGAAAAGAAGAGACUGAAGAAGAAAUAGGGCAGGGACCCUGCAGAGUAUCUCCAGGAAAAGUGAAAUAGCUGACAGGAUUCAGAUGCUUGAAGACUAUUUCUCUCUUAAUGGAAGAACAGCUGCAGAGAGAUAAAUUUUUGCAGUAAAUGAAGCUCUGAUGAGUAUCAGUUGCUGAAUUUCCCCUUUGUCCACCCUGAAACAUUUCACCUGUUCAUCUAAGGGCUUUUUGGAGCAGCAGUGCUGGUUUGUCCUUUCCACAGAGUGAACUGGCUUUUAACAUGGAUUUGUCCUAACUUAAUUUUACAGGAGGCUCAGUUCUCUUUUCCAGAUCAAGUCCCUGUGUCACAUAAAACCCAGACAUUCUGGGACAUGGAGAACAGAAGACCAUCUGGGAAAACUAUCAGUGACCUCUGAGACCACAGCAGUUUUGAUUUAGCUGGCUUUCCUAGGAAAAAUAAUUCACAUUUCCUAGAGCAAAAAAAAAACCGUAAUAGUACAACAACCAAGAAGUUGCAAAGUAAGGAGACACUCUGAUGUGUGAAAUUCCCCUACCUCCAAAGGAUUUUAUUUUAGGUAGCCUCAAUACCAUGUGGGAAUCCAGAAAGGGUUAAGAGACAGGAAUGUAAUAAAGGAUUUGAUAUGGAAGCUCCCGAGACAAAAAUCUUGCCUCAGAAUUCAUUGUGUAAAUUGAACUUCUCAAUGUGUGCAGGGUCACCACAUGAGCUGAACAAGUAGGGAUGUAAGGGUGGGUUUGAUUUUGUUUUCUGGAUUUUAAUUUUUUGUAAGUAUUUUGUGCUGCACACAGAAAACAUGCAGAGACUCUGACUGUGCCGCAGGCUGGAUUUACAAGCAUUUAACUGAGGGGACAGAAAUUUCAAACAGUUCAGAAUGCUUUGGGAUCAUUUGGCUACAGCUGGAGGAGAAUGUACACAAGUAGUUCUCAAUACUUUUGUGUUAGGUUUUAAAAAAGGCCCCAUUGAACACUUUGUUGUAUUAACAGUUUUUCUAUUUUUAUUCCAUAAAAGCAAGCAGACUUCUGCUAUUUCACCUUAGAGAUUUCCACAAGGGUGAUGGCCCAGAGACUGACUCCUGUGGCAGUAUCUAACCAUCUCAGUGGGAAUUUCAUCUGAAUAACAUGUCCCAGUUAUUCAGAAGUCUCAGAAGAGCUUGAUUUCAAGUUGCUUUCAGUAGUAAGGCUGAGACAGACAGGCAAUCCUAAGGUAAUAUUAUUGAAACCCUUACAAAACAUCAAACUCUCAUGAGACAGCCCAUCACCUUGGCCUCAAAGAGACAAUAUUUAACUAUCUUUUACUGCCAGUUUUAUUCACAAUCAUAGCUAAUCAUAAUUUUUUCCCCUUCUAUAAAUUCAGAGCCAUAAAAAAUCCUCUUGGUCUCCCUUAUUUCCUCUUGUUGGUGUAGAUAAAGACUACUUUACAGAACACUCCGUGCCUGUUUAUUUACAUGUAGCUUAACAUAAUGAGCCACUAAUCUUAUUUGAGGCCUCUGAGCAGUAUUGAAAUAUAGAUUGUUACUAAUAACCAUAGCACUUCCAUGUUACUGAGGCUGAGGUGGCAAUCCUUCCCUCCCUGCUUGCCCAUGGAGAAGAGGAGAAUGUUUGCCGAAUUUCCAGUGAGCACACCAGGAAAACAGCAUCAGCCACAGCAGAAACUCCCCGCUUUACUGAACAUGUUCCUCCUUUCAGUGAAUUCUUGUGAUGGAGUUUCCUAAACUAAAAAAAAAAAAAAA